RNAcentral lists this ribosomal RNA (468 nucleotides) under uncultured bacterium. Its description in RNAcentral is "partial 16S ribosomal RNA". It matches the Rfam family "Bacterial small subunit ribosomal RNA", at positions 28 to 507 of the family's 1533-position model. The record is from RNAcentral.
GACGAACGCUGGCGGCGUGCUUAACACAUGCAAGUCGAACGGAAAGGCCCUGCUUUUGUGGGGUGCUCGAGUGGCGAACGGGUGAGUAACACGUGAGUAACCUGCCCUUGACUUUGGGAUAACUUCAGGAAACUGGGGCUAAUACCGGAUAGGAGCUCCUGCUGCAUGGUGGGGGUUGGAAAGUUUCGGCGGUUGGGGAUGGACUCGCGGCUUAUCAGCUUGUUGGUGGGGUAGUGGCUUACCAAGGCUUUGACGGGUAGCCGGCCUGAGAGGGUGACCGGCAAGAGGGGGAGUGAGACACGGCCCAGGCGGCUGCGGGAGGCAGCAGGGGGGAGUGUGGCAACAUGGGCGGAAGGCUGAAGCAGCACCGCCGCGGGCGGGAUGAGGGCCUGAGGGUUGGAGACAGCGUUCGCCGGUGAAGAAGCGUGAGUGACGGGAAGGGGUAAAGAAGCACGGGCUAACUACGGG